This 676-nucleotide long non-coding RNA is filed under the name Monodelphis domestica (gray short-tailed opossum). RNAcentral's name for it is "lncRNA (ENSMODG00000047104.1)". Lineage: Eukaryota; Metazoa; Chordata; Mammalia; Didelphimorphia; Didelphidae. The record is from RNAcentral.
CAACAAGGAAGAUUCAUCUGGGGGUGCCACACCUAGAGCCUUGCCCCAUCCCAGUCAAAUCUGGAUGCUGACAUUUUAGGGAAAAACUAGGCUGAUACAUAUUGCUGGGAGGGGAAAAUCUGAUAGAGACCCUAUCAUGUAUAAAUAUAUAAUUUCUAUAAAGAUUUUGUAAGCAAAGCUGAGUUGAAUGAGGGAGUUUCCUGAUGACUUUGAUGAGAACUUUGGAAGAAGAUGGAAGGAACAGCAUGAGAAAAGUCAGAGAGGAGGCUGAUUGCUUAGUUGAUGCAUUAUGGGGAUUGCUUUAUCUUCAACAAAUCAAAAUUGUGGCUGACCCAAAGGGCAAUGGAGAUACACGUGGUGAUUGUAAAUAGACUUUAGCAUAUUGCUGGUGAUGACUUGCAUGAAGGAAAUGUAAAAAUACUGUCCAAAGGAUGCAUGAAUGAAAAAAGGAGGUUUACCAGUUGUGGAUCAUGAUCAAGGUUUGAUGAAUGGAGGAACAUCAUAAUGGAGAAGAAUCUACACAGUAACAGCAAUAAUGUACAGAUUAUCAAUUGGGAGAGAGAGUCUUAGGAACAGUGACCAACCCAAUGACCAACCACAAUUCCAAAGGAUUCUUGAUGAAACAUGCUACCCUCCUCCAAAUAAAGAGCUGACAGACUCAAAGGGCUGACUAAAG